RNAcentral lists this ribosomal RNA (253 nucleotides) under uncultured bacterium. Its description in RNAcentral is "partial 16S ribosomal RNA". It matches the Rfam family "Bacterial small subunit ribosomal RNA", at positions 524 to 776 of the family's 1533-position model. The record is from RNAcentral.
UACGUAGGGGGCAAGCGUUGUCCGGAUUUAUUGGGCGUAAAGAGCGUGUAGGCGGCUAGGUAGGUCCGUUGUGAAAACUCGAGGCUCAACCUCGAGCUGUCGAUGGAAACCGUCUGGCUAGAGUCCGGAAGAGGAGUGUGGAAUUCCUGGUGUAGCGGUGAAAUGCGCAGAUAUCAGGAAGAACACCUAUGGCGAAGGCAGCACUCUGGGACGGUACUGACGCUGAGACGCGAAAGCGUGGGGAGCGAACAGG